RNAcentral lists this ribosomal RNA (406 nucleotides) under uncultured bacterium. RNAcentral describes it as "partial 16S ribosomal RNA". It matches the Rfam family "Bacterial small subunit ribosomal RNA", at positions 30 to 526 of the family's 1533-position model. The record is from RNAcentral.
AUUGAACGCUGGCGGCAGGCCUAACACAUGCAAGUCGAGCGGAGCGGCGGACGGGUGAGUAAUGCCUAGGAAUCUGCCUGGUAGUGGGGGAUAACGUCCGGAAACGGGCGCUAAUACCGCAUACUAUCAGAUGAGCCUAGGUCGGAUUAGCUAGUUGGUGGGGUAAAGGCCUACCAAGGCGACGAUCCGUAACUGGUCUGAGAGGAGGAUCAGUCAAACUGGAACUGAGACACGGUCCGAAUCCCAAGGGGGGCCAGCAGUGGGGAAUAUUGGACAAUGGGCGAAAGCCUGAUCCAGCCAUGCCGGGUGUGGGAAGAAGGUCUUCGGAUUGUAAAGCACGUUAAGUUGGGAGGCGUUACCAACAGAAUAAGCACCGGCUAACUUCGUGCCAGCAGCCGCGGUAUAC